Molecule: long non-coding RNA, 8216 nt
Filed under: Glycine max (soybean)
Lineage: Eukaryota; Viridiplantae; Streptophyta; Magnoliopsida; Fabales; Fabaceae
Description: long non-coding RNA (GMAX_LNC001610)
Source: RNAcentral
ACCGACCUCGCUGACACUGCAAAGUUCUACCAAGCCGCCAUGCUCCUCCGCAGACCCAUCUCCCAUUUCAUGGACCAGCACCCACCUGAUUGCAUCGUCGCCGACACCAUGUAUUCCUGGGCGGAUGACGUGGCCAACAACCUCCGCAUCCCACGACUUGCCUUCAACGGAUACCCCCUCUUCUCCGGCGCCGCCAUGAAGUGCGUCAUAUCACACCCCGAACUCCAUUCCGACACGGGCCCUUUCGUCAUCCCCGAUUUUCCUCACCGCGUCACCAUGCCCUCCAGACCACCCAAGAUGGCCACCGCCUUCAUGGAUCAUCUCCUCAAAAUAGAGCUCAAGAGCCACGGCCUCAUCGUGAACAGCUUCGCCGAGCUGGACGGAGAAGAGUGCAUCCAGCACUACGAGAAAAGCACGGGUCACAAGGCUUGGCAUCUUGGGCCAGCUUGUCUGGUUGGAAAAAGGGAUCAAGAGAGGGGCGAGAAGAGCGUGGUGAGCCAGAACGAGUGUCUCACUUGGCUCGACCCCAAGCCAACUAACUCGGUUGUCUACGUAUCCUUCGGAAGCGUCUGUCAUUUUCCAGAUAAACAGCUUUACGAGAUUGCAUGUGCGUUGGAACAGAGUGGGAAGUCAUUCAUAUGGAUUGUUCCAGAGAAGAAAGGGAAGGAAUACGAGAAUGAGAGCGAGGAGGAGAAGGAAAAAUGGCUUCCAAAAGGGUUUGAGGAGAGAAACAGGGAGAAGGGGAUGAUUGUUAAAGGGUGGGCCCCGCAGCUCCUCAUCCUGGCCCACCCGGCUGUGGGUGGCUUCCUCUCGCAUUGCGGCUGGAACUCCUCCUUGGAGGCCGUCACCGCCGGGGUUCCCAUGAUCACGUGGCCGGUCAUGGCGGAUCAGUUUUACAACGAGAAACUCAUAACUGAGGUGCGGGGGAUUGGGGUGGAGGUGGGUGCCACCGAGUGGAGACUCGUUGGUUAUGGGGAGAGGGAGAAGCUGGUCACCAGAGAUACCAUUGAGACUGCCAUCAAAAGGUUGAUGGGCGGUGGCGAUGAAGCUCAAAACAUCAGACGCCGCUCGGAAGAGCUUGCGGAAAAGGCUAAACAAUCCCUUCAGGAAGGAGGUUCAUCCCACAACAGGUUAACGACCCUCAUUGCUGAUCUCAUGCGCUUGAGGGACUCUAAGUCGGCCACCUGAUUUCUUGCGCCAUGCCCCUACAAUUAUAACUCUUCCCUAGUUAUAAGAAUAUCUAUUAUGAAUUAGUAAAUAAACAGAUUUACUUACUAACUUAGUAAGUUCAUUUUAGUGCGUUAAGUUGUUGUAAACUUUUUGUUGAGUUGAGAAUAAAGGUGAGUGAAUUUGAUUUGUUCCUAUGAACCUUUGAAACAUGUCCCUUAUUUUAUCUAUUUAUUUUCUGUAGUUCCCCAAAAUCGACUUUUGCUAAUAAUACACUCUCAUCACAUGUUUUGAGAGGCUACAUUCAAAUAAGCCAAACCCAGUGGCAGUUCAAUGUUAUAUUUUCUCAGUACACUACGCCUUCUUUUGUUCUCUAAAAGUUAGGCAAUCACACGUCUUAUUAAUGAAAGACCCUAACAUGCAUAUGUGAGUGUCAAACCUGAGAGUUACCAUUAUAGGAUACUGGGUUCCUGCAUAAUACAGAAGUAGCAGAAAUGAAGGAUCACACAAAUCAGAGCCUAUGCUCAAGAUUCUCUACCCAGACUACGUAAAAAACUCCUCAUAAUUUAUCUCUACAUCCACUCCUUUAUUCUAUCAUUUCCUUUAACUAACUUACUGCUAGCUUACCCUUCACUCACCCCUAAUCUCAUUGCCUACUUUCUUUUUGCCUAGUGUAGACUCUCCUCUCCAUAUUUUGGGCCUUUCAUACCUUGGCCCAUCAGUAGGCUCAUCCUCAUGGUCUCUUUAACAUAUUUCUUGUUAACGGAUAUAUAUUUGUUUUGUAGACACGCGUUUCAUACCAAAUAUGGAGCCUUUGAAAGUUCGGAAGGUCUUGGAUAUGAAAAGGCAGUUUCUUACAAAUUGUAAACCAUUAGAUAUUUCUUGCUCUUGUUAUGUAGCCUCUCAUUUUUUAUUUGUGAUUCUCCUCUAAUGUAAAACCAAGGAUCCAAAAUCAUGCAAAAUUUUGAAACUUUUAUAUUUAUUAAUAAUUAAUAGUUCGGGUUUUGGGUGGAUGGAGUAGCUGUUAGCAGUAAGUCAGUGGAGGCAUAUUACAAGGAGGUAUUCUAGGCUUAGUAAAUCAGCUUUGUUUUGGCUUUCUUGGCAUGAAGCUCAAUUUAUACUUCGGCCACAAAUUGUCCAACAUUGAUGAUCUUCUCUGCGUUUUUUAUCACAUCAUAUUGUUAUCAACAUUUUAUGCGGUUCAUUUGGUUAGUAAUAUUCCCUUGUGUAUGAUCAGAACCAUAUUCAUUACUCUUCAAAUGUAUGCACACAGUAACCGAUUCCAUUUUCCCAACUUUUAUUCAACCUACGAUCUUUCUCUCUUCAUAUUUUAACUUUUCACUUGUAGCAUAAUCCCCUUUCCUUAACUCCUUCCCGUAUAUAACACCAAAUUGAUACUUCAACAUUUUAGCCUUCCAAUAUAAACUAAUUUUGCUAUUUCAUAAAACUUCAUAGUUGAAAGUAACUUAUAAGCUGAAUAUAAAAUUGUAAUUUUCCUACAAUAGGCCAUGGAUUAAUUACAAAAUUAAGAGUAGCAAUAUUGAGGGCGCUUUCCCAUCUAAUACAUAUAUAUGAUGUGUCCGAUAUGGAAAACCUUCAAUUCAUCUGUAUGAAUUAAGGCACUUUCCCUUGUUUGAACAACAACUUCAAUUCAUUGCUCUUUUCAGUUAUACCAGAGGCACAGACGUUAAAGCAUGCAUUAAGGGAGAGAGAUGCAAGUUUGGUGUUGUGCUCUACAUUGAACACAACAUUGUCCCAAAUGAACUACAAUAAUUAUUCACAUUAAACGGAAAAUGCCAGCUGCCUGUAACAUUCGCAAGAAUGUUUCCUCAACAAUGCAGGUCAAUACAGCCGCAGUUAUUAUAUCAGAAACUACCAAGAUGUUAAUUUACAUUCCUAUAACCACCAAGGUCGUUUUCUCUUUUGUCACUAUCAUGGUCUGUGGCAAGACGACAUGAUGAGCUGUAGAUGACUUCCUAUGUCUAAACAGUUCCUUCGUAAACAUCUUUUUGCUGUCCACUUUGACCUACACAAACCAAAUUAAAACAUCAAUAUAAAAAAAAAAAGUAUAUGCUUACCAAUAUUACUCUAAAUUAUAAGUUAAUUGUAGAAACCGUCUCCAUUGAUUUCAAAAACAAAGAUUACAUGGCCAACUUACAUGUUUUGUCUUGUCCUCCUGUUUUCAAACCUUUUGCUCAUUCAAGUUUUGACUAGAACACAAAACAGUCCUACUGCUUUCAGUUUUGAAUUCCUAUCAAGCAGUUUCUUGAGGAAUGCUGGUUUACUUUGCUUUACUGUUUUUCACCUAAUUACAUAAUGGAAGAAGCUGUUCUUAUUUCUUGCUCUCUCUCUCUUGCUCCUUUUCUGUAAGACUGUAACAUCAAUAAAUGUCUUUUUAAUUUAACAAAAUAACUUCAGUGUUUAUAUAUUUCUAGAAACACUUCAAGAAUAAUUUAAUUUUACUAUAUAAACAAAGUUAAUUGCCUGAAAAAAUGGUAAAAAACAACUUUAUUCAAAUCUACAACAAAUGAACCUGCAAAAAUAAAAAUAUGGCUAACUAAUUACUGAUUCCUAGUAAUUAAAGUUUAUCAUCCAUAAGGGAGGAUUCUUUCUUGGCAGUUUAGUUCAAUACAACAGCCGCAGAUAAAUAUCAGAAAUUACUAAGAUGAUAUUAAUUCACAUUCCUUUGCCCACAUAAGUCGCUUUCCAUUAGUUACUAUCAUGGUCUGCGCGCCAAGACAACAAAUGAGUUGUACAAGACUUCCUAUGUGUACAGGGCUCCUUCGUAAACAUCUUUCUAUUGGCCACUUUGACGUAGUCAAACCAUUUUUGUGUGUAAAACAAGUAUAGGAUAAAUAACCAAAUUAUCUGUGGAAAGUGUUAAGUGAUAAAUUGGUCUUUAAAAAAAUUUAAAAAUAUAAAUUUAUUUCUUGAAUUUAUAAAAAGUUUGAUAAAUUAAUGUUGUGAUUAAUUUUUACAAAUUCACAAAAUUUGAAAAUUUUCAUCAAUUUGUGGGCAUCACAUCUUGAAGGGGUUGGGUAUUCGGCCAGAAGUAUAUGCUUAGCAAUAUUACUCUAAAAUUAUGAGUCAAUUGUAGAAGCCGUCUCCAUUGAUUCCAAAACAAAGACAACAUUGGCCGACUUUCAUGUUUUGUCUUGUCCUCUUGUUUUCAAAGCAAAUGGAGCGAAGGUUGAUCAACGACAAGAAACAUUGGGUUAUUCAAACUUGUUUACAAAGUUUCAACCAUAAAGCAGAAAGAUUAAAGGCAAAAGAGUGUUCUGUUCUGUUUCAUCAGAAUUCAGAAUGGACGUGAAAGAACGACCACUGAAACUUUACUUCAUUCCAUACCUUGCCGCGGGUCACAUGAUCCCUCUAUGCGACAUAGCCCAGUUCUUCGCCUCACGUGGCCACCAUGUGACCAUCAUCACCACCCCUUCCAACGCCGAAAUCCUUCACCAGUCCAAAAACUUCCGCGUCCACACCUUCGACUUCCCUUCCGAAGAAGUAGGCCUCCCUGACGGCGUCGAAAACUUAUCCGCCGUCACCGACCUCGAAAAAUCCUACAGAAUCUACAUCGCCGCCACCACACUGCUCCGCGAACCCAUCGAGAGUUUCGUGGAGCGGGACCCACCGGACUGCAUAGUUGCCGAUUUCCUAUACUGCUGGGUGGAAGACUUGGCAAAAAAGCUCCGCAUACCGUGGCUUGUUUUCAACGGAUUCUCCCUCUUCUCCAUUUGCGCCAUGGAGUCCGUCAAAAAGCACCGCAUCGGCGAUGGUCCCUUCGUCAUUCCAGAUUUCCCCGACCACGUCACCAUCAAAUCAACCCCACCCAAGGACAUGCGAGAAUUCUUGGAACCCCUUCUCACGGCAGCGCUCAAGAGCAACGGCUUCAUCAUCAACAACUUCGCCGAGCUAGACGGUGAGGAGUACCUCCGCCACUACGAGAAAACCACGGGCCACAAGGCCUGGCACCUUGGCCCAGCGUCCCUCGUUCGGAGAACCGAGAUGGAGAAAGCAGAGAGGGGGCAAAAGAGCGUGGUGAGUACGCACGAGUGCCUGAGUUGGCUCGACUCGAAGCGAGUCAACUCGGUGGUGUACGUAAGUUUUGGGAGCCUCUGCUAUUUCCCGGAUAAGCAGCUUUACGAGAUAGCAUGCGGGAUGGAAGCGUCGGGUUAUGAAUUCAUAUGGGUGGUUCCGGAGAAGAAAGGGAAGGAAGAAGAGAGCGAGGAAGAGAAGGAGAAGUGGCUGCCAAAGGGGUUUGAAGAGAGGAAGAAGGGGAUGAUUAUCAAGGGGUGGGCCCCACAGGUGGUGAUUCUGGAGCACCCUGCGGUUGGUGCGUUUUUGACGCAUUGUGGGUGGAACUCCACGGUGGAGGCGGUGAGUGCUGGGGUUCCCAUGAUUACGUGGCCGGUGCACAGCGAUCAGUUCUACAACGAAAAGUUAAUAACUCAGGUGCGGGGUAUUGGGGUGGAGGUGGGUGCAGAGGAGUGGAACCUCAGUGCUUACUUCCAGACCCAGAAGCUGCUGCCCAGAGAUCGCAUAGAGAUGGCUGUGAGGACCCUCAUGGACGUUUCUGAUCAAGCCCUGCAAAUCAGACGCCAAGCGCAAAACUUUAGCAGAAUCGCAAGACAAGCUGUUCAAGUGGCAGGCUCAUCAUACAAUAAUUUAACAGCCUUGAUUCAUUAUGUAAAACGAUUCAGAGACUCUGCUGAGGGAUAAAAAAUAUCAAUUUUAAUGAAAUAAAAAUCAUAUAAUUCAACCAUGGUUUGAUUUUGAUUAUUAUUAUAAGAAAAUAUGAGAAUAGGCAAGGCUAAUAAAUGAUGGGGUCUAUAAAUGGCCUAUGCUUGAUCGAGUUGAAAUGAUAAAUACUGAGAUGGAGCCACUCAAACUCUACUUCAUUCAUUACCCAACAGCAGGUCACAUGAUCCCUCUCUGCGACAUAGCCACGCUCUUCGCCUCUCGCGGCCACCACGCCACUAUCAUCACCACCCCCGUCAACGCCCAAAUCAUUCGCAAAUCCAUCCCCUCCCUCCGCCUCCACACCGUUCCCUUCCCCUCCCAAGAACUGGGCCUCCCCGACGGCAUCGAAAGCCUCUCCUCCCUCAUUGACGACAUCCGCCACUUCCCCAAGGUCUACCAUGCCAUCUCCAUGCUCCAACCCCCCAUCGAGCAAUUCGUGGAGCAGCACCCACCUGAUUGCAUCGUCGCCGACUUCCUCUUCCCCUGGGUCCAUGACUUGGCCAACAAGCUUAACAUUCCCAGCGUUGCCUUCAACGGCUUCUCCCUCUUCGCAAUCUGCGCCAUACGCGCCGUCAACCUUGAAUCUUCCGAUUCUUUUCACAUUCCCAGUAUCCCUCACCCCAUCUCCCUCAACGCAACACCGCCCAAGGAGUUAACCCAAUACCUGAAACUGAUGCUGGAGUCACAGCUCAAGAGCCACGCUAUCAUCAUCAACAACUUCGCCGAGCUUGACGGACAAGACUACAUCCGCCACUACGAGAAAACCACUGGCCACAAGACUUGGCAUCUUGGCCCGGCCUCUCUUAUAAGCUGCAGGACCGCUCAAGAGAAAGCAGAGAGGGGCAUGAAGAGCGCGGUGAGUAUGCAGGACUGUGUGAGUUGGCUUGACUCGAAGCGAGUCAACUCGGUGGUGUACGUAAGUUUUGGGAGCCUCUGCUAUUUCCCGGAUAAGCAGCUUUACGAGAUAGCAUGCGGGAUGGAAGCGUCGGGUUAUGAAUUCAUAUGGGUGGUUCCGGAGAAGAAAGGGAAGGAAGAAGAGAGCGAGGAAGAGAAGGAGAAGUGGCUGCCAAAGGGGUUUGAAGAGAGGAAGAAGGGGAUGAUUAUCAAGGGGUGGGCCCCACAGGUGGUGAUUCUGGAGCACCCUGCGGUUGGUGCGUUUUUGACGCAUUGUGGGUGGAACUCCACGGUGGAGGCGGUGAGUGCUGGGGUUCCCAUGAUUACGUGGCCGGUGCACAGCGAUCAGUUCUACAACGAAAAGUUAAUAACUCAGGUGCGGGGUAUUGGGGUGGAGGUGGGUGCAGAGGAGUGGAACCUCAGUGCUUACUUCCAGACCCAGAAGCUGCUGCCCAGAGAUCGCAUAGAGAUGGCUGUGAGGACCCUCAUGGACGUUUCUGAUCAAGCCCUGCAAAUCAGACGCCAAGCGCAAAACUUUAGCAGAAUCGCAAGACAAGCUGUUCAAGUGGCAGGCUCAUCAUACAAUAAUUUAACAGCCUUGAUUCAUUAUGUAAAACGAUUCAGAGACUCUGCUGAGGGAUAAAAAAUAUCAAUUUUAAUGAAAUAAAAAUCAUAUAAUUCAACCAUGGUUUGAUUUUGAUUAUUAUUAUAAGAAAAUAUGAGAAUAGGCAAGGCUAAUAAAUGAUGGGGUCUAUAAAUGGCCUAUGCUUGAUCGAGUUGAAAUGAUAAAUACUGAGAUGGAGCCACUCAAACUCUACUUCAUUCAUUACCCAACAGCAGGUCACAUGAUCCCUCUCUGCGACAUAGCCACGCUCUUCGCCUCUCGCGGCCACCACGCCACUAUCAUCACCACCCCCGUCAACGCCCAAAUCAUUCGCAAAUCCAUCCCCUCCCUCCGCCUCCACACCGUUCCCUUCCCCUCCCAAGAACUGGGCCUCCCCGACGGCAUCGAAAGCCUCUCCUCCCUCAUUGACGACAUCCGCCACUUCCCCAAGGUCUACCAUGCCAUCUCCAUGCUCCAACCCCCCAUCGAGCAAUUCGUGGAGCAGCACCCACCUGAUUGCAUCGUCGCCGACUUCCUCUUCCCCUGGGUCCAUGACUUGGCCAACAAGCUUAACAUUCCCAGCGUUGCCUUCAACGGCUUCUCCCUCUUCGCAAUCUGCGCCAUACGCGCCGUCAACCUUGAAUCUUCCGAUUCUUUUCACAUUCCCAGUAUCCCUCACCCCAUCUCCCUCAACGCAACACCGCCCAAGGAGUUAACCCAAUACCUGAAACUGAUGCUGGAGUCACAGCUCAAGAGCCACGCUAUCAUCAUCAACAACUUCGCCGAGCUUGACGGACAAGACUACAUCCGC